Molecule: ribosomal RNA, 559 nt
Filed under: uncultured Glomus
Lineage: Eukaryota; Fungi; Glomeromycota; Glomeromycetes; Glomerales; Glomeraceae
Description: SSU rRNA
Rfam family: Eukaryotic small subunit ribosomal RNA
Source: RNAcentral
AAUUGGAGGGCAAGUCUGGUGCCAGCAGCCGCGGUAAUUCCAGCUCCAAUAGCGUAUAUUAAAGUUGUUGCAGUUAAAAGCUCGUAGUUGAAUUUCGGGAUCAAUAUUUCGGUCAUGCCGUUGGUAUGCACUGUUAUCAUUGAUUUCUCACCUUCUAAAGAACCGUAAUGCCAUUAAUUUGGUGUUACGGGGAAUUAGGACUGUUACCUUGAAAAAAUUAGAGUGUUUAAAGCAGGCUCACGCUUGAAUACAUUAGCAUGGAAUAAUGAAAUAGGACAUCCGAUUCUAUUUUGUUGGUUUCUAGGAUCGAUGUAAUGAUUAAUAGGGAUAGUUGGGGGCAUUAGUAUUCAAUUGUCAGAGGUGAAAUUCUUGGAUUUAUUGAAGACUAACUACUGCGAAAGCAUUUGCCAAGGAUGUUUUCAUUAAUCAAGAACGAAAGUUAGGGGAUCGAAGACGAUCAGAUACCGUCGUAGUCUUAACCAUAAACUAUGCCGACUAGGGAUCGGAUGAUGUUAAUUUUUUAAUGACUCAUUCGGCGCCUUACGGGAAACCAAAGUGU